UACGUAGGUGGCAAGCGUUGUCCGGAUUUACUGGGCGUAAAGAGCGCGCAGGCGGUCGGAUAAGUCGAAUGUGAAAGCCCCCGGCUCAACUGGGGAGGGUCAUUCGAUACUGUUCGACUCGAAGGCAGGAGAGGGAAGCGGAAUUCCCGGUGUAGUGGUGAAAUGCGUUGAUAUCGGGAGGAACGCCGGCGGCGAAAGCGGUGCACUGGC
RNAcentral lists this ribosomal RNA (210 nucleotides) under uncultured prokaryote. RNAcentral's name for it is "partial 16S ribosomal RNA". It matches the Rfam family "Bacterial small subunit ribosomal RNA", at positions 524 to 733 of the family's 1533-position model. The record is from RNAcentral.